UGACCCCGGCCUCCUCGUCGGCGGAGGGGAGACCGACUGUCACCCUCUCUACUCUUCUCCUUCUACGUCCGGCACCGCUACAACGACGGCCGCGCGGAUCGCGUGAGGCAACGGGUGGCUGCUCCCUACUCUUCUCCCUCUCCCUCUCCCAUUCUCUUCCUUUGCAGAUCGGCGGAGGCUUGCAACAACAACAACGGCUGCGUGGGUGAGCAAUCGAGGAGGCCAGGAAUCACCAGAUCCGGAAGGACGGCGGCCCGGUUCGGAGAGGGAGCAUCCCGAUCUGUGGCAUUGAGGCCCAUUGUAAGUGUCGAUGGCGGUCGUUCCUUCACAGUGGUGAGUUCCAGGGGGAAGGCCCUGCUCCCCUGCCCUUUCUUUCUUCACUCUCCCCCUCUCUCGGAUCCAAAUCCAAAGAUGAUGGGGAGGUUCCAUGUUACAGAUCCAGGGCCGCUGGGUCUAUUGAGCUCGGUAUCGACGGCAGCAGCAGCUCGGGCAAGAUGGAAGAAAUGUGUCAGACACUGCCUCCUCCGAGAGCAUACACCAGCGACGAGGCCAAAGUCGAUCUUCCGCAACCCCGUCUGGCAUUAUAACUUAUAUAAGAUUCAGAAAUCAGAAUCACUUCAGCUUCAGCUUGCUUGGAGCACGCCGGCGCAGGGUUUCCUCGACGGGUCUUGGCUCUGCCGUGCCCUCCUCGCGCCGCCCUUUCAUACUGACAGUUGUUCGAGGUUGCCUCCCCCGCUCAUGGCGACCUCCACCUCAGUUGGAGUUGGGAAGCUCCUUUCCCGACGUCCCCACAACACGGUGACCUUGGCCUCAACCCGGUGCUGCUACGCUCAGCUCAACGAUUGCUCAAACUACAAUGGGCAAUAACAAUAUUGCAUUUGAGGGCCUCAUUUUUGGUUGCCCUCACCUGAGCAUAUGUAGGAUACAGCCUGUGAUGAUGCCGUUAGUACAGAGUUGUUCCCUCUCUCAGCCUCCCACCAUCUUCUCCUGUCUCUCUCUGAGCAUCACCUCCAUUGCUGUCAAGGUGAUGUUUGAGCUCAAUCGGUAGGAGGUCAAAGAAGGUUGAAUAUGUAAAUAAUUUGCCAACAUGAUUUUCUCAUAUUGGGUGGUUUAGUAAGUUAACACUUAAUACCAAUCACUUCAUUUCAGCUUCUCACUAACAAGCAGCCAAGGUCUCUUCACGGAUUAUUGUCCAUGGAUGGCCAAGCUUUUCAGCAAAAUGAAAAGGUGAAAUAUAAUGAAAUAUUAUUCCCUUGCUCCAUAAAGCUUCAGAUGUGGAGUGAGCUUGCUGCUCUGCAAGCUGACAUUCCAUUUUUAAAUGUAGAGUGUGCUUGAAUUAAUCAAAGAAGCAGAUUUAUAUACAUCACAAACCUUUUUUUUUAUGCUGUUGCUCAUUUAAAAAAAAUGUGAAGUUUGUGCUGUCUAUUACAAUUACAUCCAGCCUUGCUAUUCAUCUUGGCCAAGGAGGCCAUCGCGUCCAUGGCAUUUUACUCCUUGAGUGCACUGCUUUAAUGCUAUUAUAAACAUAAAAGUGAACUUAUGGAAGUCCAGAUUUCCUAUUGUAAAUUUUUGUGCUAUUCUCAUCAAACUUCAUACUGUAAAUUCUGUUAUGUGUAAUUCCUAUUGCACUAUUCUUGUUGUAAGAUUAAUCAUAAAAGUUUAGAGAUGUUUGGAC
RNAcentral lists this long non-coding RNA (1675 nucleotides) under Oryza sativa tropical japonica subgroup. Its description in RNAcentral is "lncRNA OsKeNa_05g0002650". The record is from RNAcentral. Lineage: Eukaryota; Viridiplantae; Streptophyta; Magnoliopsida; Poales; Poaceae.